CAGGUGGUGCAUGGCUGUCGUCAGCUCGUGUCGUGAGGUGUUGGGUUAAGUCCCGCAACGAGCGCAACCCUUGUGUUUAGUUGCCAUCUUUGAAUUUGGAACCCUGAACGGACUGCCCGGGAUACACCCGAGGAAGGGGAGGAUGACACCUCAUCUUCUCGCCCCUUUUGCCCUGGGGGACACACGUGCUACAAUGGGCGGGACAAAGGGGCGCGAUCCCCCGAGGGGGAGCUAACCCCCAAAACCCCCCCUCUCUUCGGAUUGCGGGCUGCGACUCUCCUGCCUGAAACCGGAAACUCU
Molecule: ribosomal RNA, 300 nt
Filed under: Lippia origanoides
Lineage: Eukaryota; Viridiplantae; Streptophyta; Magnoliopsida; Lamiales; Verbenaceae
Description: partial 16S ribosomal RNA
Rfam family: Bacterial small subunit ribosomal RNA
Source: RNAcentral